CAUCCUCCAAGGCUAAAUACUCCUGACUGACCGAUAGUGAACCAGUACCGUGAGGGAAAGGCGAAAAGAACCCCGGCGAGGGGAGUGAAAAAGAACCUGAAACCGUGUACGUACAAGCAGUGGGAGCACAGGUUUACCUGUGUGACUGCGUACCUUUUGUAUAAUGGGUCAGCGACUUAUAUUCUGUAGCAAGGUUAACCGCUUUGUGGUAUAGCGUAUAGACCCGAAACCCAGAGUCAACCCUGUUCAGAGUCAAGGAAGACCAAGGGUUCCUGUCCAACGUUAAUCGGGGCAGGGUGAGUCGACCCCUAAGGC
Molecule: ribosomal RNA, 315 nt
Filed under: Salmonella enterica subsp. enterica serovar Anatum
Lineage: Bacteria; Pseudomonadati; Pseudomonadota; Gammaproteobacteria; Enterobacterales; Enterobacteriaceae
Description: partial 23S ribosomal RNA
Rfam family: Bacterial large subunit ribosomal RNA
Source: RNAcentral